UACGAAGGGGGCUAGCGUUGCUCGGAAUGACUGGGCGUAAAGGGCGCGUAGGCGGAUGGCACAGUCAGAUGUGAAAUUCCCGGGCUUAACCUGGGGGCUGCAUUUGAUACGUGUGAUCUAGAGUGAGGAAGAGGGUCGUGGAAUUCCCAGUGUAGAGGUGAAAAUUCGUAGAUAUUGGGAAGAACACCGGUGGCGAAGGCGGCGACCUGGUCCUGACUGACGCUGAGGCGCGAAGCGUGGGA
RNAcentral lists this ribosomal RNA (242 nucleotides) under uncultured bacterium. RNAcentral's name for it is "partial 16S ribosomal RNA". It matches the Rfam family "Bacterial small subunit ribosomal RNA", at positions 524 to 766 of the family's 1533-position model. The record is from RNAcentral.